UAGAGGAAUAGGUCAGUCAGCAAGAGGUAGAUGAUGCAUAAUACAAGGCAGAUACAUUCUUACACGUUGACACAGUGGGGCAAAGAGAAAAGCAGGUGCAUUUUACACAGAAAGGCCUCAGACACAGCGGCCAAAAGCGAUAACAGGUACACUGCUAUACAUAUAAGCACCAGCAACAGAGAGAAAGAAGGUGCACCGGUAAAACAGAGACAGCAGACAGCUUGGGAUAAAGUGAGAAAGCAGG
Molecule: non-coding RNA, 244 nt
Organism: Pelobates cultripes (western spadefoot toad)
Lineage: Eukaryota; Metazoa; Chordata; Amphibia; Anura; Pelobatidae
Source: the annotation of a GenBank genome assembly